RNAcentral lists this ribosomal RNA (462 nucleotides) under uncultured bacterium. RNAcentral's name for it is "partial 16S ribosomal RNA". It matches the Rfam family "Bacterial small subunit ribosomal RNA", at positions 28 to 507 of the family's 1533-position model. The record is from RNAcentral.
GACGAACGCUGGCGGCGUGCUUAACACAUGCAAGUCGAGCGGAAAGGCCCUUCGGGGUACUCGAGCGGCGAACGGGUGAGUAACACGUGAGUAACCUGCCCCAGACUUUGGGAUAACCCUCGGAAACGGGGGCUAAUACCGGAUACGACACAGCUUCGCAUGGGGUCUGUGUGGAAAGUUCUUCGGUUUGGGAUGGGCUCGCGGCCUAUCAGCUUGUUGGUGGGGUGAUGGCCUACCAAGGCGACGACGGGUAGCCGGCCUGAGAGGGCGACCGGCCACACUGGGCCUGAGACACGGCCCAGACUCCUACGGGAGACAGCAGUGGGGAAUAUUGCACAAUGGGCGGAAGCCUGAUGCAGCGGCGCCGCGUGAGGGAUGACGGCCUUCGGGUUGUAAACCUCUUUCAGCAGGGACGAAGCGUAAGUGACGGUACCUGCAGAAGAAGCGCCGGCCAACUACGUG